RNAcentral lists this ribosomal RNA (279 nucleotides) under uncultured bacterium. Its description in RNAcentral is "partial 16S ribosomal RNA". It matches the Rfam family "Bacterial small subunit ribosomal RNA", at positions 506 to 784 of the family's 1533-position model. The record is from RNAcentral.
UGCCAUCAGCCGCGGUAAUACGGAGGGUCCGAGCGUUAUCCGGAUUUAUUGGGUUUAAAGGGUGCGCAGGCGGAACUUUAAGUCAGUGGUGAAAUCUUGCCGCUUAACGGUAAAAUUGCCAUUGAAACUGAAGUUCUUGAAUGUAGUUGAGGUAGGCGGAAUGUGUUGUGUAGCGGUGAAAUGCAUAGAUAUGACACAGAACGCCAAUUGCGAAAGCGGCUCUCUGGCUUGUCUCUGACGCUGAGGUGCGAAAGCUAGGGUAGCGAACGGGAUUAGAUA